This 505-nucleotide ribosomal RNA is filed under the name Glomus sp. Glo23. Its description in RNAcentral is "SSU rRNA". It matches the Rfam family "Eukaryotic small subunit ribosomal RNA", at positions 569 to 1078 of the family's 1831-position model. The record is from RNAcentral. Lineage: Eukaryota; Fungi; Glomeromycota; Glomeromycetes; Glomerales; Glomeraceae.
AGCAGCCGCGGUAAUUCCAGCUCCAAUAGCGUAUAUUAAAGUUGUUGCAGUUAAAAAGCUCGUAGUUGAAUUUCGGGGUUAGUAGGUUGGUCAUGCCUCUGGUAUGUACUGGUCUCACUGAUUCCUCCUUCCUGAUGAACCUUAAUGCCAUUAAUUUGGUGUUUUGGGGAAUUUGGACUGUUACUUUGAAAAAAUUAGAGUGUUUAAAGCAAGCUAACGCUUGAAUACAUUAGCAUGGAAUAAUGAAAUAGGACGUUCGAUCCUAUUUUGUUGGUUUCUAGGAUUGACGUAAUGAUUAAUAGGGAUAGUUGGGGGCAUUAGUAUUCAAUUGUCAGAGGUGAAAUUCUUGGAUUUAUUGAAGACUAACUACUGCGAAAGCAUUUGCCAAGGAUGUUUUCAUUAAUCAAGAACGAAAGUUAGGGGAUCGAAGACGAUCAGAUACCGUCGUAGUCUUAACCAUAAACUAUGCCGACUAGGGAUCGGAUGAUGUUAAUUUAAUGACUCA